RNAcentral lists this long non-coding RNA (702 nucleotides) under Homo sapiens (human). RNAcentral's name for it is "HSALNT0284822". The record is from RNAcentral. Lineage: Eukaryota; Metazoa; Chordata; Mammalia; Primates; Hominidae.
CCCCCGCUCUUGCCUGACACACCUCACCUUGGAGCUGGGCCCCCCUCUCUUUCCUGACAUACCUCACCUUCCAUCCCUGAGGGACCGGAGGCUGGGGACGGUCGGAGUCUCGGUGCGUUUGUGUAGCAAAGUGGGGUCGCGGAGAAGAGGAGGAGAGGUGGCUUUCUGACCCUAGGUGCUUUACCUGACGCAGCUCACAGCAUCCUCGCAAGGCAUAUCUCUCUGAUGCCCAUUAUCGCCAGGUGUGACAGCUGAUCAUAGAGUAAACACCGAUGACUCCCAGAUCUACAGCUCCAGGCUGUUCCCUUCUCCGUGUCUCAUAUCAGCUUUGCCAACUGUCUAUUGGACAUCACCGCCUGAGUGUCCCUGAGGGACCCCAAAGCCCGUGUACCCCAAAUUGAUUUACCAACUUCCUUCUUGCCAUCUCCCUUGGUCUCUCUCCACACUUGAAACUUACCUUCCAACAUUUGAUCAGUUUUCAUAGAGAGAGAAUGUCAGACAGGUAGAAAAGAAAGCAUUAAAACAUUUUAAAUAUGAAUUUCAGAUGCACAAAUUCAUCAUAGUCCUUGGUUUACAACACACCCUUAUCAUCGAUCCCUGCUUGUCCCUCUUCCUUCCCUUUUCUUUCCCGUCCUAUUAUUUCCUCCCCUUCCCAUCCUUUGUCUUUUUUUUCUUUCCUUUUCUUUCACAUUCGUGAAGCCA